CUGCCAUUCGAAUCUGAACUUAUUAUCGGACUUCAGAAAGUAGAUCUAGAUCAGCUCUCUAAUAUUCUGAAUUGUUCAGCUCACUGUAUUGCUCUACCCUUGCUGAUGGUAAUCCGAUCUCAAGUAGGAUCAUCAUUUUUGUUUCAUAAGUCAGAUUGAAUGGCAAUUCUCCCAUUGGUAUGUGAGGAGUCGAUCAGUAUGCCUAUAAAAUUGGAUAUAAUUUUUUCACUUAGAGGUCUUUAGCUUCAUUCAGUCUUACUUUGAGUCCAUAAUGAAUUGUUCGAUUUGUUACCUCCACUCUCCAUUGGAUUGUGGAUGGCUGACUGAUAUGAGUUUGUGCGUAAUAUAAAAUUUUGCACAUAACUCUUUGAAGUUCUGAUUAUCAAAUUAUCGAUCAUUGUCAGUAAUAAUGAUGUAUGGUAGAUUA
Molecule: long non-coding RNA, 427 nt
Filed under: Elaeis guineensis (African oil palm)
Lineage: Eukaryota; Viridiplantae; Streptophyta; Magnoliopsida; Arecales; Arecaceae
Description: long non-coding RNA (EGUI_LNC016504)
Source: RNAcentral